ACACCCGUGACUCGUCCUGAGACUGC
This 26-nucleotide non-coding RNA is filed under the name Cricetulus griseus (Chinese hamster). Lineage: Eukaryota; Metazoa; Chordata; Mammalia; Rodentia; Cricetidae. The record is from RNAcentral.